CCGUUAGCUCAGUUGGUAGAGCAACUGACUUUUAAUCAGUGGGUCGCAGGUUCGAACCCUGCACG
This 65-nucleotide transfer RNA is filed under the name Thalassiosira minuscula. It matches the Rfam family "tRNA", at positions 5 to 66 of the family's 71-position model. Rfam says of the family: Transfer RNA (tRNA) molecules are approximately 80 nucleotides in length. Their secondary structure includes four short double-helical elements and three loops (D, anti-codon, and T loops). Further hydrogen bonds mediate the characteristic L-shaped molecular structure. tRNAs have two regions of fundamental functional importance: the anti-codon, which is responsible for specific mRNA codon recognition, and the 3' end, to which the tRNAs corresponding amino acid is attached (by aminoacyl-tRNA synthetases). tRNAs cope with the degeneracy of the genetic code in two manners: having more than one tRNA (with a specific anti-codon) for a particular amino acid; and 'wobble' base-pairing, i.e. permitting non-standard base-pairing at the 3rd anti-codon position. Lineage: Eukaryota; Bacillariophyta; Thalassiosirophyceae; Thalassiosirales; Thalassiosiraceae. RNAcentral also lists the same sequence under 1 other name. The record is from RNAcentral.